RNAcentral lists this ribosomal RNA (899 nucleotides) under uncultured Sphingobacteriia bacterium. RNAcentral's name for it is "bacterial SSU rRNA". It matches the Rfam family "Bacterial small subunit ribosomal RNA", at positions 63 to 963 of the family's 1533-position model. Lineage: Bacteria; Pseudomonadati; Bacteroidota; Sphingobacteriia. The record is from RNAcentral.
CGAACGGUAACAGGGUAGCAAUACCGCUGACGAGUGGCGCACGGGUGCGUAACACGUAUGCAAUCUACCUUCAACUGGUGAAUAGCUCGAAGAAAUUCGGAUUAAUACACCAUAAUAUUGAAAAUUGGCAUCUUUUUUCAAUUAAAGUUUUAAUGGUUGAAGAUGAGCAUGCGCGACAUUAGCUAGUUGGUGAGGUAACGGCUCACCAAGGCUACGAUGUCUAGGGGAUCUGAGAGGACUAACCCCCACACUGGUACUGAGACACGGACCAGACUCCUACGGGAGGCAGCAGUAAGGAAUAUUGGUCAAUGGAGGCAACUCUGAACCAGCCAUGCCGCGUGCAGGAUGAAGGCCCUAUGGGUUGUAAACUGCUUUUGUGCGAGAAAAAACCUCUUUACGUGUAAAGAGUUGAUUGUAUCGUAAGAAUAAGGAUCGGCUAACUCCGUGCCAGCAGCCGCGGUAAUACGGAGGAUCCAAGCGUUAUCCGGAUUUAUUGGGUUUAAAGGGUGCGUAGGCGGAAUGAUAAGUCAGAGGUGAAAGCCUACAGCUCAACUGUAGAAUUGCCUUUGAUACUGUUGUUCUUGAGUAUAUUUGAUGUGGGCGGAAUGUGUCAUGUAGCGGUGAAAUGCUUAGAUAUGACACAGAACACCGAUUGCGAAGGCAGCUCACAAAACUAUAACUGACGCUGAGGCACGAAAGCGUGGGGAUCAAACAGGAUUAGAUACCCUGGUAGUCCACGCCGUAAACUAUGAUUACUCGAUGUUUGCGAUAUACUGUAAGCGUCCAAGCGAAAGCGUUAAGUAAUCCACCUGGGGAGUACGCUCGCAAGAGUGAACUCAAAGGAAUUGACGGGGGCCCGCACAAGCGGAGGAGUAUGUGGUUUAAUUCGAUGAUACGCG